AUUGAACGCUGGCGGCAGGCCUAACACAUGCAAGUCGAGCGGAUGAAGGGAGCUUGCUCCUGGAUUCAGCGGCGGACGGGUGAGUAAUGCCUAGGAAUCUGCCUGGUAGUGGGGGAUAACGUCCGGAAACGGGCGCUAAUACCGCAUACGUCCUGAGGGAGAAAGUGGGGGAUCUUCGGACCUCACGCUAUCAGAUGAGCCUAGGUCGGAUUAGCUAGUUGGUGGGGUAAAGGCCUACCAAGGCGACGAUCCGUAACUGGUCUGAGAGGAUGAUCAGUCACACUGGAACUGAGACACGGUCCAGACUCCUACGGGAGGCAGCAGUGGGGAAUAUUGGACAAAGGGCGAAAGCCUGAUCCAGCCAUGCCGCGUGUGUGAAGAAGGUCUUCGGAUUGUAAAGCACUUUAAGUUGGGAGGAAGGGCAGUAAGUUAAUACCUUGCUGUCUUGACGUUACCAACAGAAUAAGCACCGGCUAACUUCGUG
This 484-nucleotide ribosomal RNA is filed under the name uncultured bacterium. RNAcentral describes it as "partial 16S ribosomal RNA". It matches the Rfam family "Bacterial small subunit ribosomal RNA", at positions 30 to 507 of the family's 1533-position model. The record is from RNAcentral.